CGGUGCCAUGAUCGCGUCGGUGCCCUUCGCAAGAGGGCGUAAAUGGGAAUGCGGUGCGGGGCCUCGGCUCCAAUGCCGCGGCUGUCCCUGCAACUGUAAGCGGCGAGCGACGGACACAUGCCUUCCCCCGCGGGAAGGCGGCCACUGGCAAGGGUUCGCCCGACCCGGGAAGGCCGUGCCCCGAGCGACGACCCGCGAGCCAGGAAACCUGCCGGCGAUAGGGUCGCUCU
RNAcentral lists this non-coding RNA (230 nucleotides) under Sphingomonas taxi. Lineage: Bacteria; Pseudomonadati; Pseudomonadota; Alphaproteobacteria; Sphingomonadales; Sphingomonadaceae. The record is from RNAcentral.